UUCCGUUGAGCCUCGUUUAUAUUUGUCUCCUCGUUGUUGAAAGCUGCCGGUGUCUCCGCGUUCUUCUUUCACCGCUGCUCGUUGCUGCGUACUACUCGCCGUAGCUUCCUCAUGCGUGCCUGAGCUCCACGAAACGCACCGUCGUCUCAUUGUUCUUCUUUCAAAGCUCCUCGUUGCCUGAAGCUCUUCAUAUUUGUGGGUCUCGCGCCUGGUUCGCCGAGCGUGCUUUAGCUUGUCAUUGUGCACUGCCCAUAACAUAUCCGUGGCAAGUUGCUAUAUCGGUGAACUCGCAACCACUGCGCUUAACUGCUAAUCAGCUAACGAAGGAGAACUUCGUUGGUUUCUGUUUUUUUCUACGAAUCUGCAACACUCCUCUCCUCCUUUAGGUCAGAUAAGCUCUUCCUUUACCUUACAUACGUUUGUUAAUUUUUCUCGAACUACCAGUUGCUUUGUUGUGGCGUGAUAAAGAUCCCAUUUCGGUUCCCAGGUUCGUGCUUGCUUGUUUGAUUUAGAUUGCGCCUGGUGUUGUUUAGAUCCUCCUUAGUUAGACAAACAAAGGUGAGCUUGUGGGAUCUUGCGAAAUUAUUACAGCUGCUUUUCUAUCUUACAAAACGUUCCAAAUAACGAUUCCGACAACCCAUCCGGUUAGUUUUCCCCACAAAUCUCCUGAUUUGUGGUAAUCCUUUGUCCAACCAAUCAAAAAAAACCUCGUGGCGAUGCCCCCCAGGCGUAAAUGGAACGCUGAAAACUCCGAGAACAGUGAGUUUCUGUUGUCGGUCGAAACCCACCGACGAGUAGC
Long non-coding RNA from Panicum virgatum (switchgrass), 799 nucleotides. RefSeq lists it as uncharacterized. The record is from RefSeq and is a predicted model, not a curated record. NCBI's taxonomy places the organism in Eukaryota, Viridiplantae, Streptophyta, Magnoliopsida, Poales, Poaceae. The transcript has 3 exons.